Molecule: long non-coding RNA, 1025 nt
Filed under: Triticum aestivum (bread wheat)
Lineage: Eukaryota; Viridiplantae; Streptophyta; Magnoliopsida; Poales; Poaceae
Description: long non-coding RNA (TAES_LNC027463)
Source: RNAcentral
AAAAACAAUAAAUGUGGAAGGCCAAUAAUUGUGGAAAUGAUUUCAAGAGGCUUCACAACAUAGUCAUGGGUACAGAUAUAGAACCUACUGAGAAAACUUGGGCCAGUAUGCAGAGCACACCAUUCAUCAUAUUCAACCUCCAUACUCUUAGAACAAAUCUAAAAAGCUGGAAACAUAAACCAACGGAUCCACAAAACAAGCUCAUUGGCCCCUCAGUGCUUACUGCCUGUUCUUCUUCUUGACACCGGACUUGGCAACCUGGAGGCUGCGGUAAACUGCGCUCAGUCUUGCAAGAGCAGGCUUGGUCAAGUCAGGCCUGUAGUAGUUGUCACUGACCUGGAAAGCAAGAAGAAUUAACCAUUAGAUCAAGAAAACAAAUGAGGUCGACACGGUUUAACAGGAGGACAUCUUAAGCAGCAUUUCUCCACUUUGUAACCACCAAAGAAAGGACCAUUUCCAGCUAGUACCAUUGAAAACCAAGCACAAACAGGCAGGGGCGGUUUACAAGACAGGCAUUCCAUUUUUUACUGAAUUAAAGCUUUUUCCACAUUAAGGCUCAACUCAGUCACAAGUGAAUGUCACAUACUAGAUACAACCAUACAGCGUUACAAAUAGAAAGUAAAUAUGUAUUCUUCAAAUAUUAGAGCAAGUUUAUAGAGUAAUGUUCCAGGUUGAUUAAAAGCAUUACAUCUGCGGAUUUCAUAACACAGUCCCUUUAGAAGAUUAGAGAUGGGACUGUACAAACUCAGCAGUCAAGCGACCGAAACACUGGAAUGGUUGCUACAGGUUAUAUUUCCAAUAGCAGUUGUCAUUUAGAGUACUUAAUCUAGAACAUCCAGUGUCACAACUUAAUCAUAAAAGAACAAAUAUGGUUGUUUUGAUGCUAAUACCUGGUUCUUGACAGCCUUGGCCAUCUUGCGGAACUCCUUGCGCAUGACAGUCUUGUGGGUGAACGCAGCAGGCUUGUUCUGCUUCUUUGACUUGGUUGUGGAGAGGACCACAGUCAUCUCCUUCUCAGCAGCUGG